This 478-nucleotide ribosomal RNA is filed under the name uncultured Pelotomaculum sp. Its description in RNAcentral is "bacterial SSU rRNA". It matches the Rfam family "Bacterial small subunit ribosomal RNA", at positions 904 to 1382 of the family's 1533-position model. The record is from RNAcentral. Lineage: Bacteria; Bacillati; Bacillota; Clostridia; Eubacteriales; Desulfotomaculaceae.
GAAGAAGUUGACGGGGCCGCACAAGCGGUGGAGCAUGUGGUUAAUUCGACGCAACGCGAAGAACCUUACCAGGGCUUGACAUCCCCUGACCGCGUAUGAAAGUACGUUUUCACCCUCGGGUGACAGGGAGACAGGUGGUGCAUGGUUGUCGUCAGCUCGUGUCGUGAGAUGUUGGGUUAAGUCCCGCAACGAGCGCAACCCCUACGUUUAGUUGCUAACGCGUGAAGGCGAGCACUCUAGACGAACUGCCGUUGACAAAACGGAGGAGGGUGGGAUGACGUCAAAUCAUCAUGCCCCUUAUGUUCUGGGCUACACACGUGCUACAAUGGCCGGUACAGACGGACGCAAAGCCGCGAGGUGGAGCAAAUCCUAAAAAGCCGGUCUCAGUUCGGAUUGCAGGCUGCAAUUCGCCUGCAUGAAGUCGGAAUCGCUAGUAAUCGCAGGUCAGCAUACUGCGGUGAAUACGUUCCCGGGCCUU